Molecule: long non-coding RNA, 561 nt
Organism: Amphiprion ocellaris (clown anemonefish)
Lineage: Eukaryota; Metazoa; Chordata; Actinopteri; Pomacentridae
Source: Ensembl
AGGUUUCCCAGAGACUAUGGGUUGAGGAAGAAUUGGAAGUUUGUCGGCUUAGACCUGGUGUCAUUCCAUCAGUGUUAAACUUCCCGGCUCAUCUUGGAAGAGUACGUGCCAGAAAGACCACAACCAAGCAGCCUUGAGAUCUUAGGCAGCGUCUCCCUGAGUUCUGCUGGACCAGCUCAGCUUCCCCUCAGAAGAAGUGCUGCCACCUGCCAGAUGAAGGAGCCUUUUGAGAGGCAGCUGGCAUCGUGAUUGGACUGUACUUUGGUCUGUUCCAAUCCAGCUUCAGCUCCAGAGACGGCAGGCGGGACGAGUCAACGGAGGCCUGGUGGACGAAGGCAUGCAGCUGAGUACAAUCCAGAAAACAACAGAGGAGGAGUGCAGCAGCCCAGAGCCAGAACAAGCAGAGUAGCAUCACCAAAGAACUACAGACUCUUCACAACCUGCUCAAACUCUUGGUACAGGACCUCACCACACGGGUCAAGAAGGUUUCUGUCUCAUUUCUACUCUGAAGCUCACCUUCUGCUGCUCAAACUGCUGACAAAUGUUUCUGCUGCUCUAAAG